UUUUUUUUUACUCAACUUCAACUUGAUAUUAACCAACAAGGGAUACAAGAUUUAACACCACAAGAGUGCUUAAGCCGCACUUACAAUAAAGAGAUUUAGUAACACCCAGGAUCACUACUUGGAUCCUACACUAUCCAAUCUAUAUCUUUGUUGUGAUUUUCAUCUCAAUGAACACAAACUUCUCCUACGACCCAGAAGAA
This 200-nucleotide long non-coding RNA is filed under the name Brassica napus (rape). RNAcentral's name for it is "long non-coding RNA (BNAP_LNC020707)". Lineage: Eukaryota; Viridiplantae; Streptophyta; Magnoliopsida; Brassicales; Brassicaceae. The record is from RNAcentral.